This is a long non-coding RNA of Etheostoma spectabile (orangethroat darter), 246 nucleotides long. RefSeq lists it as uncharacterized. The transcript has 3 exons. The record is from RefSeq and is a predicted model, not a curated record. NCBI's taxonomy places the organism in Eukaryota, Metazoa, Chordata, Actinopteri, Perciformes, Percidae.
UUUUGAGAGACUCUAGUCACGUUCAUCCCGCUAGUCAGUUUCGGGUUAGCACUCCACCAAUCAGAUUGUUCAUUUGAGUCCGACUGCCGGCAGAGCCCGCCUUCCGACCGAGCAUGUCAAGUCGGCCAAAAUGAAGGCCGCCGGCCCCUCCGACGGACGACGGCACGGAGCACACCGAACAGACUCGAGUCACCGACCUCGUCAGACUGUCGGCCGUCGGACGAUUAUCGGCUCGGGCUUAAAGCA